GACGAACGCUGGCGGCGUGCUUAACACAUGCAAGUCGAGCGGUAAGGCCCCUUCGGGGGUACACGAGCGGCGAACGGGUGAGUAACACGUGAGCAAUCUGCCCAUCACAUCGGGAUAACUCCGGGAAACCGAAGCUAAUACCGAAUACGACCACCUCCGGCAUCGGAUGGUGGUGGAAAGUUCCGGCGGUGAUGGAUGAGCUCGCGGCCUAUCAGCUUGUUGGUGGGGUAACGGCCCACCAAGGCUUCGACGGGUAGCCGGCCUGAGAGGGUGACCGGCCACACUGGGACUGAGACACGGCACAGACUCCUACGGGAGGCAGCAGUGGGGAAUAUUGGACAAUGGGCGAAAGCCUGAUCCAGCAACGCCGCGUGAGGGAUGACGGCCUUCGGGUUGUAAACCUCUUUCAGCAGGGACGAAGCGAAAGUGACGGUACCUGCAGAAGAAGCACCGGCCAACUACGUG
Molecule: ribosomal RNA, 465 nt
Filed under: uncultured bacterium
Lineage: Bacteria
Description: partial 16S ribosomal RNA
Rfam family: Bacterial small subunit ribosomal RNA
Source: RNAcentral